Long non-coding RNA from Oncorhynchus keta (chum salmon), 346 nucleotides. RefSeq lists it as uncharacterized. The transcript is spliced from 3 exons. The record is from RefSeq and is a predicted model, not a curated record. NCBI's taxonomy places the organism in Eukaryota, Metazoa, Chordata, Actinopteri, Salmoniformes, Salmonidae.
ACGGCUGGUAGCCUAGUGGUUAGAGUGUAGGGACGGUAGGUAGCCUAGUGGUUAGAGUGUAGGGACGGCAGGUAGUCUAGUGGUUAGAGUGUAGGGACGGCAGGUAGCCUAGUGGUUAGAGUGUAGGGACGGCAGGUAGCCUAGUGGUUAGAGUGUAGGGACGGCAGGUAGUCUAGUGGUUAGAGUGUAGGGACGGCAGGUAGCCUAGUGGUUAGAGUGUAGGGACGACAGGUAGUCUAGUGGUUAGAGUGUAGGGACGGCAGGUAGCCUAGUGGUUAGAGUGUAGGGACGGCAGGUAGCCUAGUGGUUAGAGUGUAGGGACGGCAGGUAGCCUAGUGGUUAGAGU